UUCGGUAGUAUAGUGGUCAGUAUCCCCGC
This 29-nucleotide non-coding RNA is filed under the name Bombyx mori (domestic silkworm). Lineage: Eukaryota; Metazoa; Arthropoda; Insecta; Lepidoptera; Bombycidae. The record is from RNAcentral.